UGGACAGAUUAUUGUAUUCGACUGUAUUCACGGCGUGAAACAGGGGAUUACACUGUUUUUAAACGGAAAGUGAAUCAAUUAACAUAAUAGACUCCU
Non-coding RNA from Nicotiana sylvestris (wood tobacco), 96 nucleotides. The record is from Rfam. NCBI's taxonomy places the organism in Eukaryota, Viridiplantae, Streptophyta, Magnoliopsida, Solanales, Solanaceae.